RNAcentral lists this ribosomal RNA (139 nucleotides) under uncultured bacterium. RNAcentral describes it as "partial 16S rRNA". It matches the Rfam family "Bacterial small subunit ribosomal RNA", at positions 357 to 510 of the family's 1533-position model. The record is from RNAcentral.
GGGAAUUUUCCGCAAUGGGCGAAAGCCUGACGGAGCAAUGCCGCGUGGAGGUGGAAGGCCUACGGGUCGUCAACUUCUUUUCUCGGAGAAAGAAACAAUGACGGUAUCUGAGGAAUAAGCAUCGGCUAACUCUGUGCAG